GGGAAACUCUAAGGAGAAAACCCAGCAAAUUAUGAAAAUUCAAGAUCCUUUGCUCAAAGUAUUGAGAUUGGUGGAUGGUGAUGACAAGUUAGCAAUAAAUAUUAUAUACAAGGCAAUGGAGACAGCAAAGUUGGCAAUUAAGAAAAACUCUAAAAGUUAUAUAGAAUACUAAAAAAUCAUCCGACACAGUGAAAUUUUCAAUUACAGCA
This 209-nucleotide unclassified non-coding RNA is filed under the name Hevea brasiliensis (rubber tree). The record is from RNAcentral. Lineage: Eukaryota; Viridiplantae; Streptophyta; Magnoliopsida; Malpighiales; Euphorbiaceae.